RNAcentral lists this unclassified non-coding RNA (18 nucleotides) under Dictyostelium discoideum. Lineage: Eukaryota; Evosea; Eumycetozoa; Dictyosteliales; Dictyosteliaceae. The record is from RNAcentral.
GGUGGCUCGCUCUCAAUA